CCGCCGUGAUUUUCUCGACUCUAGCUUCUCCGACAUCGGCAAAAUUCUGCACCAACAGCUGCCUAUCACCAAAGGAAGGCUAAGUAUUAUAAUGCCUGAGUCAAGGCCAAAGAAUUUUGAGCUAGCGAUCUGUUGUUGCGACAAACUGAAGUUUCACAGCGUACUGAGUAAGAAAAGCUAUCACCCAACUGAGAAGGUCUCUAUCAGGUGGACAAAGUGGUAUG
This 224-nucleotide long non-coding RNA is filed under the name Elaeis guineensis (African oil palm). RNAcentral's name for it is "long non-coding RNA (EGUI_LNC058663)". The record is from RNAcentral. Lineage: Eukaryota; Viridiplantae; Streptophyta; Magnoliopsida; Arecales; Arecaceae.